RNAcentral lists this unclassified non-coding RNA (436 nucleotides) under Hevea brasiliensis (rubber tree). Lineage: Eukaryota; Viridiplantae; Streptophyta; Magnoliopsida; Malpighiales; Euphorbiaceae. The record is from RNAcentral.
GCAUAAUGUUAUAGAAGCUAUUUUAUUAACAGGAUUUUCAGAAUGCACAAUAGCUCUUUGGUUUCUAUAGUGCAGAGUCAGUGAGUUUCAAGCCUCAGGAGCCAAACGCACCAGCUUGAUAAUUUGUUGCUUCCACAAGCCACUUAAUUUGUGCAUUGAUUGAGGUUGCCCCAACACUAUCCUUGGUUGAGCCAUCUUGGCAAGGUUUUUGUUUCCAUAUAGGAGAUAUUAGAGUUGUUUGCAUGUUGGAGAAAGCUUGUCACUUUGGCAUUGUGGUGUUGGGUUAUUUUCUAGCGUUUGGUCAUUUUACUCAUCGAAACAUUUACAAAGAAAAGAGUUUGGCCAGUUUGCAAAUGGCAAAUGCAAUGAACAGAUGUUGCAAGCUUAACUUAAUUGUGCACCAAUUUUUGCAGGUUAUGCAGAAGCACCAAAAGUA